Long non-coding RNA from Micropterus dolomieu (smallmouth bass), 668 nucleotides. RefSeq lists it as uncharacterized. The transcript has 3 exons. Lineage: Eukaryota; Metazoa; Chordata; Actinopteri; Centrarchiformes; Centrarchidae. The record is from RefSeq and is a predicted model, not a curated record.
ACUGCACCAGCUUAUGGAUAUUCAUUGCCAGAUUAAACAGGAAAUUGGAUUGCUUAUGUUUUCCAUGCUUUCCAUGCACGCUAAUAGCUCAGCACCUACAUGUGUUAUCCAUUCUGUGCCAUCAUGUACUAACAAGGAGAGUAAGUGGUGGAAAGGACAUUUAAUGGGUAGAAUGAAUUUCUAUUUGUCUACAGGAUGUUAAGACCCAAAAAAGGAAAACUCUUUCCCAUAAAUAUUAUUCACAGUGGCAAAUGGAUACUACAUAUAUUCAUCCUUAUCAUUUCCACAAGGAGUGGGGAACAAAAUAUACACACGUGCUCACACACACAUUAAAACAAGGAAUUCCCCACGCACAGCAACAACAGUCAGAAGCUGGUGGAUCGCAGGAAUUAGCAAUAAUAGAAUCAAAAACAAGCCCCCACACACUAGAACGACUUUACUCCAAGAAGCUGUAGUGAUAAUGGAUCGUGGAUGGAAAAAUACUGAAAAAAGAGAAACGGGUCCGGCUGCGGACUGUACCUCAGGGAGCGUGGUGUAAGCCAAGGGCUUGGGGUAGGUCAAGUUCAUCAGACAAGAAUGCGGGAUUUGAAGAAGACGAUGAAGUAACUGCACAGCAGAAGCAACAGAUAGGUAAUCACAGCUCAGUACAGCAAAAGUUGAACAUAUGA